ACGCUCGACACCUACGGGAGGAGCAGUGAGGAAUAUUGGUCAAUGGGCGCUAGCCUGAACCAGCCAAGUAGCGUGAAGGAUGAAGGCUCUAUGGGUCGUAAACUUCUUUUAUAUAAGAAUAAAGUGCAGUAUGUAUACUGUUUUGUAUGUAUUAUAUGAAUAAGGAUCGGCUAACUCCGUACCAGCAGCCGCGGUAAUCUGAGCGGGCUGGCAAGGC
RNAcentral lists this ribosomal RNA (217 nucleotides) under uncultured bacterium. RNAcentral describes it as "partial 16S ribosomal RNA". It matches the Rfam family "Bacterial small subunit ribosomal RNA", at positions 328 to 539 of the family's 1533-position model. The record is from RNAcentral.